RNAcentral lists this ribosomal RNA (468 nucleotides) under Vibrio parahaemolyticus. RNAcentral's name for it is "bacterial SSU rRNA". It matches the Rfam family "Bacterial small subunit ribosomal RNA", at positions 929 to 1397 of the family's 1533-position model. The record is from RNAcentral. Lineage: Bacteria; Pseudomonadati; Pseudomonadota; Gammaproteobacteria; Vibrionales; Vibrionaceae.
GCGGAGGACAUGUGGUUUAUUCGAUGCAACGCGAAGAACCUUACCUACUCUUGACAUCCAGAGAACUUUCCAGAGAUGGAUUGGUGCCUUCGGGAACUCUGAGACAGGUGCUGCAUGGCUGUCGUCAGCUCGUGUUGUGAAAUGUUGGGUUAAGUCCCGCAACGAGCGCAACCCUUAUCCUUGUUUGCCAGCGAGUAAUGUCGGGAACUCCAGGGAGACUGCCGGUGAUAAACCGGAGGAAGGUGGGGACGACGUCAAGUCAUCAUGGCCCUUACGAGUAGGGCUACACACGUGCUACAAUGGCGCAUACAGAGGGCGGCCAACUUGCGAAAGUGAGCGAAUCCCAAAAAGUGCGUCGUAGUCCGGAUUGGAGUCUGCAACUCGACUCCAUGAAGUCGGAAUCGCUAGUAAUCGUGGAUCAGAAUGCCACGGUGAAUACGUUCCCGGGCCUUGUACACACCGGCCCGU